AGUCAGGUAAGCCGUUUUAAAUCAUCCCCUUCCCCCAUCCAGACCACCGCCCAAUCAACACUCCAAAACGAAAUGAUGGAAGAACAGUAGUCCAGAUAGGACUUUGACACUCAGUAACCAGACUAUAGUUCGAAGAUAGAUGUCCUUGCCUUCCUCCACAACCAAUCAUCCCCAUCCGCUUUGAAAGAAGACAGGUCCGGUAUCAGGGAGGGGAGAAGACCUUCAAAUCAAGCCGGGAAACAUCGAUGUCAAAUGGAGGUUACCCUUUCGGGAUCUUGGAAUGGAUUGACUUGGUAUCAUCAUGAAGGA
RNAcentral lists this small nucleolar RNA (309 nucleotides) under Trichophyton rubrum BMU01672. RNAcentral's name for it is "CD-box snoRNA". Lineage: Eukaryota; Fungi; Ascomycota; Eurotiomycetes; Onygenales; Arthrodermataceae. The record is from RNAcentral.